This 23-nucleotide non-coding RNA is filed under the name Cricetulus griseus (Chinese hamster). Lineage: Eukaryota; Metazoa; Chordata; Mammalia; Rodentia; Cricetidae. The record is from RNAcentral.
AAGGGGAAUUGAAGAAGAUUUGG